CCCCAGUAGUGGCGAGCGAACGGGGAAGAGCCCAAACCGUUGCCGUUUCGGCGACAGCGGGGUCAUGGGACCGCGAUACUCGACGAUGGACGAAGUGCAAUUACCUGGAAAGGUAAGCCGUGGAGGGUGACAGCCCCGUGCACGACACCUCUUUCGAAGAUAGCGGGAUCCCGAGUAGGGCGGGACACGAGAAAUCCUGCCAGAAUUCGCCAGGACCUCCUGGCAAGGCUAAAUACUCCCGAGAGACCGAUAGUGAACCAGUACCGCGAGGGAAAGGUGAAAAGUACCCCGAGCAGGGGGGUGAAAUAGACCCUGAACCCGCGCGCCUACAAGCGGUCGGAGCCAUGAAAUAUGGUGACGGCGUGCCUUUUGCAUAAUGAGCCUACGAGUUAGUCGUCACCAGCGAGGUUAAGGGCUUCAGGCCCGUUAGCCGAAGUGAAAGCGAGCCUUAACAGGGCGUCGAGUUGGUGGCGCUAGACGCGAAACCUUGUGAUCUACCCACGAGCAGGUUGAAGUCGCGGUAACACGUGAUGGAGGACCGAACCGGUAAACGUUGAAAAGUUUUCGGAUGACUCGCGGGUAGGGGUGAAAGGCCAAUCAAACUGGGAAAUAGCUCGUACUCUCCGAAAUGCAUUUCGGUGCAGCCUGUGAUGUUCUGUUCCAGAGGUAGAGCUACUGGUUGGACGCGAGGGCUUCACCGCCUAUCAAAUCCGGAUAAACUCCGAAUGCUGGAACACGAAAUCAUGGAGUGAGCCCGCGGGUGCUAAGGUCCGCGGACGAGAGGGAAAGAACCCGGACCACCGGCUAAGGUCCCGGAUGGACAGUUAAGUUGAUCAAACGAGGUGGGAUCGCGGAGACAGCUAGGAUGUUGGCUUGGAAGCAGCCAUUCAUUUAAAGAGUGCGUAACAGCUCACUAGUCGAGCGAUCCCGCGUGGAUAAUACACGGGCAUUAAACUGUCAACCGAAGCCGUGGGGUCAGUGAAGAACUGACCGGUAGGAGAGCAUUCCUGCCAGCUUUGAAGGUCACCCGCGAGAGUGACUGGAGCGGCAUGAAAAGCAAAUGUAGGCAUAAGUAACGAUAAUGGGGGCGAGAACCCCCCACGCCGCAAGACCAAGGAUUCCCCGGCAAUGUCAAUCAGCCGGGGGUCAGCCGGCCUCUAAGGCUCACCCGAAAGGGGAUGCCGACGAGAAACGGGUUAACAUUCCCGUGCUUCUCGUCACCGUGACGCGGUGACGGGGUGAUGAAUGGACCGCGCGCUGACGGAAUAGCGCGUUGAAGGCCGUACCCUAUGACGGUGGUAGUCAAGCACGCCACCCGAGGCGAAAGUCGAUAGUACCUCGAGGCCUCGGCCGAGGGGAUAGCGUCCAGGCAAUUUACCCCCUAGAAAACCCGCUAAACUUCAAGUGACGAGGAACCGUACUGUAAACGGACACACGUGGUCGGGUAGAACAUACCAAGGCGCUCGAGUGAUUCAUGGUCAAGGAACUAGGCAAAAUAGUCCUGUAACUUCGGGAAAAAGGACGCUCUAGUGAUAGAGCCGCAGAGUAAUGGCCCAGGCGACUGUUUACCAAAAACACAUGGCUAUGCCAAAUCGAAAGAUGACGUAUAUGGCCUGACACCUGCCCGGUGCCGGAAGGUUAAGAGGAGAGCUCAUCGGAAACGAGAAGGUUUGAAUUGAAGCCCCGGUAAACGGCGGCCGUAACUAUAACGGUCCUAAGGUAGCGAAAUUCCUUGUCGGGUAAGUUCCGACCUGCACGAAUGGUGUAACGAUCUGGGCACUGUCUCGACCAUGAGCUCGGUGAAAUUGUAGUUCCGGUGAAGAUGCCGGGUACCCGCGAUGGGACGAAAAGACCCCGUGAACCUUUACUGCAGCUUCGCGUUGUUCCCGGGCACGGGACGUGUAGGAUAGGUCGGAGGCUAGGAGUCGGUUUCGCCAGGAAUCGAGGAGCCAUCGUUGAAAUACGACCCUUCUCUUGUCUGGGAUCUAACCCGUGGUAAUGGGGACACUGCUUGGUGGGUAGUUUGACUGGGGUGGUCGCCUCCAAAAGCGUAACGGAGGCUUCUAAAGGUACCCUCGGGUUGGUUGGUAAUCAACCUUAGAGUGCAAUGGCACAAGGGUGCUUGACCGGGAGACCAACGAGUCGAUCGGGUGCGAAAGCAGGGCAUAGUGAUCCGGUGAUCCCGCGUGGAAGGGACAUCGCUCAAAGGAUAAAAGGUACUCCGGGGAUAACAGGCU
Molecule: ribosomal RNA, 2237 nt
Filed under: human gut metagenome
Description: bacterial LSU rRNA
Rfam family: Bacterial large subunit ribosomal RNA
Source: RNAcentral